This 490-nucleotide ribosomal RNA is filed under the name uncultured bacterium. Its description in RNAcentral is "partial 16S ribosomal RNA". It matches the Rfam family "Bacterial small subunit ribosomal RNA", at positions 29 to 507 of the family's 1533-position model. The record is from RNAcentral.
AGUGAACGCUGGCGGUAGGCCUAACACAUGCAAGUCGAACGGCAGCACAGGAGAGCUUGCUCUCUGGGUGGCGAGUGGCGGACGGGUGAGGAAUACAUCGGAAUCUGCCCAAUCGUGGGGGAUAACGUAGGGAAACUUACGCUAAUACCGCAUACGACCUUCGGGUGAAAGAGGGGGAUCGCAAGACCUCUCGCGAUUGGAUGAGCCGAUGUCGGAUUAGCUAGUUGGCGGGGUAAUGGCCCACCAAGGCGACGAUCCGUAGCUGGUCUGAGAGGAUGAUCAGCCACACUGGAACUGAGACACGGCCCAGACUCCUACGGGAGGCAGCAGUGGGGAAUAUUGGACAAUGGGCGCAAGCCUGAUCCAGCCAUACCGCGUGGGUGAAGAAGGCCUUCGGGUUGUAAAGCCCUUUUGUUGGGAAAGAAAUCUUUCAGGCUAAUACCCUGGGAGGAUGACGGUACCCAAAGAAUAAGCACCGGCUAACUUCGUG